AAUAAUUUAUUUGAUGGUUUCUUACUACAUGGAUAACUAUAGUAAUUCUAGAGCUAAUACAUGCGUAAAGUCCCGACUCUCGCGGGGAGGGAUGUAUUUAUUAGAUAAAAAACCAAUGCAGGCUCUGCCCGGUUUUGUGGUGAAUCAUAGUAACUUUUCGAAUCGCAUGGCUUCACGCCGGCGAUAGUUCAUUCAAAUUUCUGCCCUAUCAGCUUUCGACGGUAGUGUAGUGGACUACCGUGGCGUUAACGGGUAACGGAGAAUUAGGGUUCGAUUCCGGAGAGGGAGCCUGAGAAACGGCUACCACA
RNAcentral lists this ribosomal RNA (308 nucleotides) under uncultured eukaryote. Its description in RNAcentral is "SSU rRNA". It matches the Rfam family "Eukaryotic small subunit ribosomal RNA", at positions 111 to 414 of the family's 1831-position model. The record is from RNAcentral.